Long non-coding RNA from Poecile atricapillus (Black-capped chickadee), 7583 nucleotides. RefSeq lists it as uncharacterized. The record is from RefSeq and is a predicted model, not a curated record. The transcript is spliced from 2 exons. Lineage: Eukaryota; Metazoa; Chordata; Aves; Passeriformes; Paridae.
CCCCAAGACGAUUGGCACAGCAAACGCAAGAGGAAAUCUCAGCGCACGGCCAAUGCCAGGCAAUGAAGGAUCCUCUGUGGGAGUUGCAGGCCUCAGCAGAUGGCCAGGAUGGGAAGGAGAGAACACCAGUUUUAAUCCAGUUGUUUGUGAUGGAAAACUAUGAGAGAAUUGAAAAGACCUUAUUCCACAGACCAAGGCAUUUACUUUAUUUAACUGUCUAACCUCAGUCAGAACACUAAAUUCCAUUACUCUAGAUGAAUGUUAUGGUAUGGUGAAGUCUUAUUUGGUAAUUACCUGGUCAGAGCCACAGACUAGAAACAAGAUAUGCAGCCAGUGAAAGCCCAGUGGAGUCAGACCAGUUUAUACUAGCUGAGAAUCCAGUCUUCAAUUUUGAAUUAAAAAUUUGAGAAGUUGCAUUUUUCCAUGGCAUUUUGGUCAUAUUAUACAGGGAAGAAAAAAAAAAAAAAAAAAAAAAAAAAGGAAAAAAGAAGCAAGAAAAUAAAAAAUGUAGCUAUUUGUAUAACCAGGACAGAAGCAGAACCAAUGUGAAAUCUUUACCAAUGAAAUUCUACAUCCAAAUUAUUGGGUAUUAGGUGUUGGUGCCAUGUGGAUUACUGCUUAAGUUUAGGGCAGCAAGGUAAGCUCAUUUUCCUGCCUCUGUCUUUUCAGUCACCAUUAGGGCUGCAACCUUCCCAUCCUCCAGGGAGAGGGAGAGAAGUUACACAAUGGGUGUUUUUCCAUGGGCGGAUGUCUAAAUGUGAAGGGAAACAAUUGAAUUUUAAUGACAAUUUUGAGACUCUUGAAGUUAAUUUCUGGGCAGUGCAGAAAUUAGUGGGGUUUGUUGCUGCCAAGAGUUGCAUGUUCUCCUCUCCUGGUAUUAGCAGGACUACAGGUCUCAGCUUUUGGCAGAAAUAACUCCCAAAAUAGCAGGUCCUUCUCUCUUGCCUUCUCUCACAACAGAGAGCAAGAGACAUGCUGCUGCCAGACUCAACCAAGUGUCAGUGCAGAGCAAUGGCUACAAAAACCAGGGCAACUGCACCAAAUUUACACUACCAGAGAUGUGUUCUCAUUAGGUAUUUACAGUAUAGUAGCAUUAUCUGGGGUGGAAUGGUAAAUUUGUUAGGUUCUUCACAAAACAUUUAACCAGAAAAAGUUCCUGCAUCCAAAAGCUCUACAAAAGUGAUUGCAGAAGGAGAGUGGCAAACAAUGGAAUAUCCUGGGGAAAGAAGUACACCAGUGAUUGCAGCAAAGGCAGCCAGCUAUGAAGGCUUUUCCUACACGCAGGGUAAUGUUAAUUCUGCCAAGGAGGCAAGUUAUUUCCUUUUCAGCUAUGCUAUUUCCACUCCAUUACUGAAUCAUGGUUUGUUAAUAGCUUACAAACAUCAAAUUUAAAAAGCUUUAGGAACUUUGUCAUACCUAAGACAAUAUGUACCGAUUUAUCAAUUUCUAUAAAAAUACAUGAUCCAGUAGGUUUUGGGGUUGUGGUUGUCAGGGUAGGGUUUUUUAAUGCCUUUAAUAAAGAAUGGAUAAUUUUGAUCUUGUUUUAGUCUUCUUGGAAGAUUUAGAAAGGAAUAAAAAGGAUAAUCCCAAAAUCUGUAUAUAUCUACUUGUAGAUAGCAAAGCAGAAAAUAAAAGAUGCUUCAAAAUAGCGCCAGUCAUUUAGUCUGCUCUGUAGUUGGAUGAUAGAAUGUCAAGCAUUUUCACCAAAGGCACGAGACCCACUAAAGAGGACUGUCUUUUCAAUUUUGGGCUAUGCAAUUACAGCCCCAAACAGGUCAUGGAAGGGAUCAGGCUUCCCCAUGUUACCCCUCUGGUCAGAUGGCAGCUCCAGCCAAAAGGAAAAAAGAAAAGAGGACAGCCAUAGCCACCUGGCACUGCCUUUUUGCACAGAAAAAAGCAGGCAGGGAAGGAGGGACCUGGUAUCCAGCCAGGUGUGGCAGGACUUACAAGCCAGGCUGCCAAGCUGGAGCUCAUCUUCUGAAUGGGAUUCUGCCGGGGAGGGCACGGAGAAGGUAACAUUGGGGAACUGCUUCCCUUGCAAAGAUCUCUGUGUCCCCGUUUAGCCUCUCCCAUGAGAUGGCCAAACAUGCGUCUUACUUGGCAGAAAAAUUUUCAGCCUGGUACUGAGUAUGUUACUGUGUCCCGCAGCCCACUACAAGGUGUUCAUAAAACAUUGUCGCUUAAGUGUUCCUGAAGUUCUCUCACAUUGCAGCCAGUCCUUAUUUCAGUUACAGGAGAAUUAAAAGAAACACUGGGGAGACUCACAUUACUGACUGAUACCAAACCAUUUUUUCCUAACACAGUUUUUAUAUACAGUACCCAGAGUUUAGCUGUGUCCAUUAUUUCCUUCUUAGAAAAGGAAAUUAUUUCUCCAAGGCUGAUUUUACUUACAGCAAAUUUUUCCACUGUACUACUGGAUACUAUGGUACAGUUCAUUGCUCUAGAACAAUUUCACUAGUUUAGAAACUCCACCAUAAUGUUUUGCCACUAGAUUUCUGCUGAGAAGUAGAGACACUAGCUCACAAACACCCCUUCCAAGUCCUUACGGAGCCUUCCUGAGUUAUGCUUAUCAGGCUUGCACACAGCUAAGUCUCUGUGCCCCUGCUCUGAGCCCUUGAGACAUGGGUGCUCAGCUAAGACUAGAGAAAAAGGAAAAGCAUAGCCAUGAUCAGCAGAUAAUCAUUUCAAUGGCUGUUAAUGUAAAAACAUAUCUCUAACCUUAUUUACUACAGCCGGAUAUAUGGUAGGAGACAAUUUGUAUGAACCAAUUUAUUUUUUUCUUUUUAACUCUUUUGUAUGAGUAAUGAUUUUUGAGAGGUUGGUGUAGUCAUGUUCAGUUGUUACGAAGCUGAUGUUUCACAUUUCUACCUGUGCAGAUGGGAUAUCGCAUUUCUAAGUUACCAAGACCACUUAAACAUCCAGAAACAGUUUCCUCUAUUCCAGCAGUAGUUGCCACUUCUCAGGACAAUUCUUUAGGUACAAGUCAAAUAGAAAUGGCCCUUCACUAUUUUCCACUACAGCUCAGGCUUUCUGCCUCAGCUUUUAUGCAGCUGUGAGCAUGUACAAAAUAGGAUGCUAGUUUUCAUCCCCCUGCCCUCAGUCCAAGAAAUGCUAUGCAAGAGUAAUUCCAUCUGAUUUCACAUAAUUCUGCUCUUGCACUUAGAAAUACAGGAGUUGACAGUCAAGAAGUUCUUUGGGUACUGGAAAGAUUAACAGGUCUUCCAGCUCUCAUACAGGUGACCACAAGGUACAAGCAUUAUAGACAUUUGAUGAAUGAAGGGUUGCCACCAAAUGAAAGCUCUAGAGGAAAUCAUUGAAACAAGGUUUAAGGAGUUUGUGAAGGCACUGUAAAAUGAAUGCACUUUAUGAGGCUACAGUGUGUGUAAAAGGUAUAUGCAACCUGCUCUGUAUUCCUAAAAUGAUCACCAACAUAUGAUCAGGAACUCGGGCUUCUGAGAGUAAUUUCUCUCUCUGUGCCUCAGUUCCCUUAUAUGAAAGUCAGGAUUAGGUCUUGGGUGCCCCUUGGAUGAACAGAACAAAUUCACCUGUUAAAUGUCAAGUGUUACAAUCAAUCACAGGUUUACCACGUCUUUCCUACCCAAUCAUUUAAAACUAUUAAUAUCAAAAUAAGCCACUCAAAAAUUAGUAAAGAUUCCAGAAGUCACAGAUUGUGGAACAUGAAUCUCAGUGAUUUCAAUGGAUGUGAUGCCAGCCUCAGAGAUAAGAUUAACUUUGAUGUGAAAGAUCCUGUCACUCCAAUGACAAAUGUUCUGCAUUUUCUGUUAGUUCAGGAAAGAUCUAUGCCAGUCCCAUCACAGUCCCUCAGCUAUUGUUCCCCCCCACUUUGAAUAUUUUCCUAUGAAUGCUGCUUGCUACCUAAUAAACAAUCAAAAAAACAUCAGAUGCCAGCAUUCUAUGGUUGAAUUUAUUGUAUGUUUUUCCCCUUAAAUAAUUUUUUUUUUGAAAUUUUGAUGAAAAUUUAUCUGCCAGGUAAUCAGGAAAGGAACUGAGAUAUAAUCCAGUCAUUAUGGUCACUCUCACUUACAUGAGUCUACUACAGGUGAUCCUUUCUUACAUAAAUGCAGUUAUGCUUAAGGAAGGUUAGAUGCUACAUUUUCAGUAAUUUCUUUCUUCUACCAAGACAGAUAACAUUGGAUGCAUAAAGUUCCUCUUUUAUGUGGCACUUCCUUUAAAGCAAGUUUGUCCCCUUGAGUAAUUUUUUCCUUGGCUGUAAUGUGAUAUAUAUAUACACACAUCUGUAUCUGUCAAAGAUACCUAUAUUUAUCUAUCACACACCACUGGAAGAUGUUAUUACAGAUUGGAAAAAGAAAAACAAAAAGGACAAAUUUCUCUACUCAGUGUUUAAGAGAAGUUGGUAUCACCGAAUUUAGAAGUGUAAAUUCCGUUUUUUUUUUUUGCAGCUGAAUACACCACCCACCCCAGCAGCACCUGAUGUCAGUAGCAGUUCAUGUAUGUGUGUAGCUGCAAAAUCUUUUGAUAUCCAGGUGUCACUGGAAACCCAGUGGAUUACAGUACUUUUUUUUUUACAUAUAUAAAAGAUGCAAUUAGCCUAAAAGUAUUCAAUAUUUUCUACAAGGACAUGUUGUGAAGAAUUCCAAGUGUCUUUUGAACAUGGAGGAGUCGCUACCCUGUAUCCUACUAAAAUGCAUACUACUUCCAACAUUUUCCAAGUAGACAAAAUGAAUAUGGAGGGAGGAGGGAAGUUGUUCAGAGAAAAUUCAAGUUAGAAAAAAAAAAUUUCUUAUUUAUAGUUCAGAGAUCUGUGCUGUUUUAAUUCCUCCUUUAAAAAACUACUUUAAAUUACAAAUUGCAAGCCUGUUUCAGAUAUCUUGCUCUUCUUGCGAAUACAAAAAUAUGAGAGAAUAAGGUAAAAAAAGAUAUUAAAUAGUGAUUUAAUUUGUUCAGAAAGCAUUGAGUGAUAAGCAUCUGCAUGGAAUUACAUAGCUCAGUUCUACUUGAAAAUUUUUCUAACUGGAAGAAAACGUUCAAGUUCCUCACCCAUUUUAACAGCUGUCAUAAAUGGAUGUUAAACUUAGCAGCAGCAGUUCAUUGGCAGCUUCCCAAGACUGGCAUCAAUGUAAGAAUUUGUAUCUGAUAUGAAUGAAAAAAAAACCCAAAAGAUUGUUAAUGCUGUUUUUGAAUGAAGGUUUGAAAUAGUUAAAUGCAAAACACCACAGAUGCCACCCAUGGACAUGAUAACUAUUUCAGGGGAAAGGGAGGAGGGCAAACUUCCUACUGCAUGAGGAAAAAUAUAGAAGUAUUAAGUAGAAAUAUUUGAAGAAAUUAAGGCCUGGAACUACAGCUUCAGCAAAGAAGGUGAUGUCAGUUCUGUGUAUUUCUGCACAAGAAAACCAAAAUGCUGGCUGGGAUUUCUGAGCAUUUCCACAACCCAAGCAGUAAGAGGAAGCUGUUCAAAAUCAAGAGUUCUAGUGAUAACUGCAAUGAAAACAGACCAGAGCCUUUAUCUUAAUCAGUUACUUAGAAUAAACUGAUACUGAUUUAUCAUCUUUUCUCCCUCCACGUUUAGAGUCAGAGCCACUUACACAUUACUGAUGUGUUUUCAAAAUCCCACACAUGGGUGACAACAUGCAAUUCUUGCAAAUAUUUUGAGGGAAGGGAUUGCCUGUAUGUUGCUAGUGCUGUACUUCAGGGUCAUGAGUCAUUAAGAAAAUAUGGAUAAAUAUUUAUUUUUGUCCUUUGAAUAAGAAGUCUUUUGUGACAGAAUAUAAACGUGCAGAAGUAGUUUUUAAGUUUAUUGUUACUACUCUUUUUAUUAACAAUGACAAAUUUUAAAACAGUUGAAAUACUUGGAUGGAAACAUGUCAUUAUCUCCAGUAAUUUCUGCAAAUGUUCAGUCAACAUCCUAAUUGUAUUCCUAUCCAAUAUGAUGAAAUGAGCUCUAGCUCUCUCCAUACAUGACAUAGCAGUAAGAAAAAAGAAAAUAUCUAAAUGCUAUUUAUUCGGCAACUGAAUCUUAGCCAAAGUGAGCUACUGUUUACUAUGGUUAGUGAUAACUUUACACAUAUAGUAAGCACAUAAGGCACUUGUAACUUUUGAAAGCCUGAGAUUUGUAUUAUCCUGUAGGCUCUUUUAAUUUAAUUUAGGUAUAUACUGAUAGAAUUAAACACAGGCAUUUACAGGAAAAAAAAAAUUGUUAGGGCUGAGAUAAGCAAAUAAAAGAAAAUAAAUACAAUAGUAAAGUUGCUAAUGCUCUAUUCUCAAUAAAAUUCUUAUAGUUAUGUGCUCUCCUUUCCCUUCUAGCAACACGUAAUUCUCUGCAGGGAUGUCAAGGGGACCAUUCUCUCCAUUUUCCUAAAGUUAGCAAGCCAACAUCUGCUAAAUGCAGUACGACAUGCUGUUUACCUUUGUUGUAAACUUGAAGCUUUUCCACUUAAAAACUGUAUAAACGAAUCAGUAUUCAUUCACACCUACGCCUAGAAAUAUCCAUUACAAAGCAGACAAUUCUCAUUUUUAAUCUCCUCCUUAUUCUGAUUUUAUGCCGUAUUCCUCUGCACUGAUGCUGUUUGGAAUCACUCUGGAUAUAUUAACAAAUGCAAGGAAAGUAAAACAAAAGACAAUGGGGAUUUUCCCCUCAUUUUCUGCAAGUUUACUGACAGAUAAAGAUGAUAAAAAUCCAGAGUAAAAGGUCUUGCCUGACAUCUCCUUUAAACUCAGUAGUUUAACAAACUGCUAUGAAACAGAAGUUUUGUCCCCUGCUCCAAAAACCAAGAUGACAAAAUCCCAAACUAUAUGUUUAGAUUUGCCUUCUAAAAUCCUGUGGAAUAUUUAAUAACUUGUAUUUCAUGGCAGAAUUUCCAAUGUAAAUAGUAGGGGGUUGUCUGUUUUGUUUUGAUUUUUCAAAAUGUAUAUACAUUUCUCAUCUGCUGAAAGGAAACCUGCCUACAUCAGCAAAAAGUACAGAUAAAAAGAAAAUACUAAUUAACAUGAAAAAAUGCAACCACCCUUUCUUUAGUGAAUGCUUUUGAAUCAGAAAAUAUUUUUUCUCAUGCUGCAGCAGAAACCCUGUAUUUGAACGAGCACCCACCAACAUCGCUUGUCCCUCUAAUUGUCAUCAUUACUAAGACAGAAGCAGCCUUUGUUUAUCACACAGAGCAUUCUCUAAAAUCUUUUUUUCCAAUCACGUUUUUAUUCUCCUUCUCCCCCGCCUGCUUUUAUUUAGUUUUGAGCACAGUUACAGCUCUACUUGGGUUAACUUGUGGCAGUAAGGCAUUCGCAGAAGCUGUUGCUCUCAGUAACGUUGGCUAUUGCUGAUUACAGCAUUGCUUAAGGCAGAUUCCUUGUUCUAAAUGGCAUUGAACAUUUUUACCUGGGUAUUGCAACACCACAUUAUGAGCACUGGGAUAUAAACAGAACAGUAAGCAGUGUUGCUGGCCUCUGGAUUUAAACCAGUGGACUUGUGUGUGGAGACACAGCUAGAAAAUCGAGCUGUCACCAAAGUAUCUGAUACAAUGUCUGUAUCUUUCCCUAAUUUGCUACUGACCAAUUAUUACAUUCAACUCUGAAUCACAGUCCUAAAUAAUAAAGGUCAGAGUUUUCAUGGA